GAUGAACGCUGGCGGCGUGCCUAAUACAUGCAAGUCGAGCGAACGGACGAGAAGCUUGCUUCUCUGAUGUUAGCGGCGGACGGGUGAGUAACACGUGGAUAACCUACCUAUAAGACUGGGAUAACUUCGGGAAACCGGAGCUAAUACCGGAUAAUAUUUUGAACCGCAUGGUUCAAAAGUGAAAGACGGUCUUGCUGUCACUUAUAGAUGGAUCCGCGCUGCAUUAGCUAGUUGGUAAGGUAACGGCUUACCAAGGCAACGAUGCAUAGCCGACCUGAGAGAGUGAUAGGCCACACUGGAACUGAGACACGGUCCAGACUCCUACGGGAGGCAGCAGUAGGGAAUCUUCCGCAAUGGGCGAAAGCCUGACGGAGCAACGCCGCGUGAGUGAUGAAGGUCUUCGGAUCGUAAAACUCUGUUAUUAGGGAAGAACAUAUGUGUAAGUAACUGUGCACAUCCUGACGGUACCUAAUCAGAAAGCAACGGCUAACUACGUG
RNAcentral lists this ribosomal RNA (497 nucleotides) under uncultured bacterium. Its description in RNAcentral is "partial 16S ribosomal RNA". It matches the Rfam family "Bacterial small subunit ribosomal RNA", at positions 28 to 507 of the family's 1533-position model. The record is from RNAcentral.